UUUUUGAAUUUUAUGAUUUUUAGUUUAAUUCCAUUUUUUUUAAUAAUUCAUAAUAAAUUUAAUAUUGAUCCAAAAAAUAUGAGACUUUCACCAAAAAAUUUCAAAUAUUUUUCCCUUUCAUAUUCUGAAUUAAAAUUAUUUGUUGGAUCAUUAUUAAUAUUUUUCAUGAAUUAAUGGGUUUUUCAUUUGUUUUUAAUUGUUUAAAAAUAUUUUUAAGUGUCCAAAAAUUAUGAAAUUUUU
RNAcentral lists this long non-coding RNA (240 nucleotides) under Lathyrus oleraceus (garden pea). RNAcentral's name for it is "Pisum sativum (pea) long non-coding RNA (PSAT_LNC035279)". Lineage: Eukaryota; Viridiplantae; Streptophyta; Magnoliopsida; Fabales; Fabaceae. The record is from RNAcentral.